Molecule: ribosomal RNA, 332 nt
Filed under: Glomus sp. 8898 JG-2015
Lineage: Eukaryota; Fungi; Glomeromycota; Glomeromycetes; Glomerales; Glomeraceae
Description: eukaryotic LSU rRNA
Rfam family: 5.8S ribosomal RNA (bases 1-70)
Source: RNAcentral
GUGAUCAUCGAAUCUUUGAACGCAAAUUGCACUCCCUGGUAUUCCGGGGAGUAUGCCUGUUUGAGGGUCGGUUUAUAUAAAAUCGACGUGUUGCUUGUUGCGUGACAUGUUGGAGUUGGGUGAUCUUGAUCCCCCCUUGGGUUUCAAGAGACCUGAAAUUGAUGUUCUCGCGCAUCUUUAGACGUGUAAGUCUUACCUCGUCUUUUAUGGAUGUCGUGCUAUCAUUUACUGGGUGUGGUCACGUUGUUGAGCUCACGCCCAUAAGAUUUCGAGUUUCGACCUCAAAUCAGGUAGGAGUACCCGCUGAACUUAAGCAUAUCAAUAAGCGGAGG